This 492-nucleotide ribosomal RNA is filed under the name uncultured bacterium. Its description in RNAcentral is "partial 16S ribosomal RNA". It matches the Rfam family "Bacterial small subunit ribosomal RNA", at positions 29 to 507 of the family's 1533-position model. The record is from RNAcentral.
AGUGAACGCUGGCGGUAGGCCUAACACAUGCAAGUCGAACGGCAGCACAGUAAGAGCUUGCUCUUACGGGUGGCGAGUGGCGGACGGGUGAGGAAUACAUCGGAAUCUACUUUUUCGUGGGGGAUAACGUAGGGAAACUUACGCUAAUACCGCAUACGACCUACGGGUGAAAGCAGGGGAUCUUCGGACCUUGCGCGAUUGAAUGAGCUGAUGUCGGAUUAGCUAGUUGGCGGGGUAAAGGCCCACCAAGGCGACGAUCCGUAGCUGGUCUGAGAGGAUGAUCAGCCACACUGGAACUGAGACACGGUCCAGACUCCUACGGGAGGCAGCAGUGGGGAAUAUUGGACAAUGGGCGCAAGCCUGAUCCAGCCAUACCGCGUGAGUGAAGAAGGCCUUCGGGUUGUAAAGCCCUUUUGUUGGGAAAGAAAAGCAGCAGGUUAAUACCCCGCUGUUCUGACGGUACCCAAAGAAUAAGCACCGGCUAACUUCGUG